RNAcentral lists this ribosomal RNA (203 nucleotides) under uncultured bacterium. Its description in RNAcentral is "partial 16S ribosomal RNA". It matches the Rfam family "Bacterial small subunit ribosomal RNA", at positions 328 to 538 of the family's 1533-position model. The record is from RNAcentral.
ACGCUCGACACCUACGGGGGCAGCAGUGGGGAAUAUUGCACAAUGGGGGAAACCCUGAUGCAGCAACGCCGCGUGAAGGAAGACGGUUUUCGGAUUGUAAACUUCUGUUCUUAGUGAAGAUAGUGACGGUAGCUAAGGAGCAAGCCACGGCUAACUACGUGCCAACAGCCGCCGGUAAGUCUGAGCGGGCGUGGCGAAGGACG